CCUACGGGUGGCAGCAGUGGGGAAUAUUGCACAAUGGGGGAAACCCUGAUGCAGCGACGCCGCGUGAGUGAAGAAGUAUUUAGGUACGUAAAGCUCUAUCAGCAGGGGAGCAAAUGACGCUACCUGUCUCAGUAGCCGCGUCUAACUACGUGCCAGCAGCCGCGGUACUACGUAGGGGGCCAGCGUUAUCCGGAUUUACGGGGGGUAAACGGAGCGUAGACGGGAACGCGAGUCUGGAGUGAAAACUGAUGGCUUAAACAUGGAACAGCUUGGGAAACUGGGUAGCGUGAGUGCAGGAGAGGUAUGCGGAAUGCGUGGUGUAGCGGUGAAAUGCGUAGAUAUUAGGAGGAACACCAGUGGCGAAGGCGGCAUACUGGACUGUAACUGACGUUGAGGCUCGAAAGUGUGGGGAGCAAACAGGAUUAGAUACCCCAGUAGUC
RNAcentral lists this ribosomal RNA (440 nucleotides) under uncultured bacterium. RNAcentral describes it as "partial 16S ribosomal RNA". It matches the Rfam family "Bacterial small subunit ribosomal RNA", at positions 338 to 795 of the family's 1533-position model. The record is from RNAcentral.